GGGUAACCCGGCAGGACGCCGGGUUAGCCGCGCUGGGCCAUGGAUGGCCCAUCGCGGCGGCCCC
Molecule: non-coding RNA, 64 nt
Organism: Pseudomonas brenneri
Lineage: Bacteria; Pseudomonadati; Pseudomonadota; Gammaproteobacteria; Pseudomonadales; Pseudomonadaceae
Source: Rfam